AAGUCGUAACAAGGUCUCCGUUGGUGAACCAGCGGAGGGAUCAUUACCGAGUUUUCAACUCCCAAACCCACUGUGAACUUAUACCUUUACUGUUGCUUCGGCGGGUCUCGGCCCCGGCGCUGCCCCUCCUCUUACCGGGAGGGGUGAGCCGGACAACACGGCCCCCGCCGGAGGACCCAAACUCUUGAAUUUUCGCGACUGGCUCGCGGCAGUUUGUAUUCUGAUUAAUUCAAAACAAAAUGAAUCAAAACUUUCAACAACGGAUCUCUUGGUUCUGGCAUCGAUGAAGAACGCAGCGAAAUGCGAUAAGUAAUGUGAAUUGCAGAAUUCAGUGAAUCAUCGAAUCUUUGAACGCACAUUGCGCCCGCCAGUAUUCUGGCGGGCAUGCCUGUUCGAGCGUCAUUUCAACCCUCAAGCACUGCUUGGUGUUGGGGGCCGGCGAGGUCGUCUUUCUCGACGCGCCGCCCCCGAAAUGACUUGGCGGCCCCGUCGCGGCCCUUCCUCUUGCGUAGUAGCACACACCCCGCAUCGGGAGCCCGACGGCGGCCACUGCCGUAAAACACCCAACUUUCUCAGAAGUUGACCUCGGAUCAGGUAGGAAUACCCGCUGAACUUAA
Molecule: ribosomal RNA, 617 nt
Filed under: uncultured fungus
Lineage: Eukaryota; Fungi
Description: eukaryotic LSU rRNA
Rfam family: 5.8S ribosomal RNA (bases 249-402)
Source: RNAcentral